RNAcentral lists this long non-coding RNA (238 nucleotides) under Theobroma cacao (cacao). RNAcentral's name for it is "long non-coding RNA (TCAC_LNC000159)". The record is from RNAcentral. Lineage: Eukaryota; Viridiplantae; Streptophyta; Magnoliopsida; Malvales; Malvaceae.
AUUGCCUUCACAUAUCGAAAGACCAGAACGUCCCACUCUCAUUUUUCUGUUAGCUUUAUACACAAAAACAAAAACAAAAACAAAGCUGAAAAAGAGUUUCUAAGUGUAAAUCAUCAAGAGAAAAAGAGCAGCAUGGCCUCCACCGCAUGCUUCUUGCACCACCGUGCACUCACCACCGCAACCAGAUCAUCAUCACCAUCACCAUCACCAUCACAGCGCCAAGUUGCAAACAUCAAGC